This 490-nucleotide ribosomal RNA is filed under the name uncultured bacterium. RNAcentral's name for it is "partial 16S ribosomal RNA". It matches the Rfam family "Bacterial small subunit ribosomal RNA", at positions 30 to 507 of the family's 1533-position model. The record is from RNAcentral.
AUUGAACGCUGGCGGCAGGCCUAACACAUGCAAGUCGAACGGUAACAGGAAGCAGCUUGCUGCUUCGCUGACGAGUGGCGGACGGGUGUGUAAUGUCUGGGAAACUGCCUGAUGGAGGGGGAUAACUACUGGAAACGGUAGCUAAUACCGCAUAACGUCGCAAGACCAAAGAGGGGGACCUUAGGGCCUCUUGCCAUCGGAUGUGCCCAGAUGGGAUUAGCUAGUAGGUGGGGUAACGGCUCACCUAGGCGACGAUCCCUAGCUGGUCUGAGAGGAUGACCAGCCACACUGGAACUGAGACACGGUCCAGACUCCUACGGGAGGCAGCAGUGGGGAAUAUUGCACAAUGGGCGCAAGCCUGAUGCAGCCAUGCCGCGUGUAUGAAGAAGGCCUUCGGGUUGUAAAGUACUUUCAGCGGGGAGGAAGGGAGUAAAGUUAAUACCUUUGCUCAUUGACGUUACCCGCAGAAGAAGCACCGGCUAACUCCGUG